This 1123-nucleotide ribosomal RNA is filed under the name Achromobacter xylosoxidans. Its description in RNAcentral is "bacterial LSU rRNA". It matches the Rfam family "Bacterial large subunit ribosomal RNA", at positions 604 to 1740 of the family's 2925-position model. The record is from RNAcentral. Lineage: Bacteria; Pseudomonadati; Pseudomonadota; Betaproteobacteria; Burkholderiales; Alcaligenaceae.
CCUUUUGUAUAAUGGGUCAGCGACUUACAUUCAGUGGCAAGGUUAACCGAAUAGGGAAGCCGUAGCGAAAGCGAGUCCGAAUAGGGCGAUUCAGUCGCUGGGUGUAGACCCGAAACCAGAUGAUCUAUCCAUGGCCAGGUUGAAGGCACGGUAACACGUGCUGGAGGACCGAACCCACUAAUGUUGAAAAAUUAGGGGAUGAGCUGUGGAUAGGGGUGAAAGGCUAAACAAAUCUGGAAAUAGCUGGUUCUCUCCGAAAACUAUUUAGGUAGUGCCUCAAGUAUUACUGCGGGGGGUAGAGCACUGUUAUAGCUAGGGGGUCAUGGCGACUUACCAAACUAUGGCAAACUCCGAAUACCCGCAAGUACAGCUUGGGAGACAGAGCACCGGGUGCUAACGUCCGGACUCAAGAGGGAAACAACCCAGACCGCCAGCUAAGGUCCCAAAUUAUCGCUAAGUGGGAAACGAAGUGGGAAGGCAUAGACAGUCAGGAGGUUGGCUUAGAAGCAGCCAUCCUUUAAAGAAAGCGUAAUAGCUCACUGAUCGAGUCGUCCUGCGCGGAAGAUGUAACGGGGCUAAGCGAUAAACCGAAGCUGCGGGUGUGCACUUUGUGCACGCGGUAGGAGAGCGUUCUGUAAGCCUGCGAAGGUGGCUUGUAAAGGCUGCUGGAGGUAUCAGAAGUGCGAAUGCUGACAUGAGUAGCGAUAAAGGGGGUGAAAAGCCCCCUCGCCGUAAGUCCAAGGUUUCCUGCGCAACGUUCAUCGGCGCAGGGUGAGUCGGCCCCUAAGGCGAGGCAGAGAUGCGUAGCUGAUGGGAAGCUGGUUAAUAUUCCAGCACCGUCGUACAGUGCGAUGGGGGGACGGAUCGCGGAAGAUCAUCAGGGUGUUGGAUGUCCCUGUUGCUGCAUCGAAGAUGGCGCUUAGGCAAAUCCGGGCGCGUAAAUCAAGGGUGUGGCACGAGCGAGCAUUGCUUGCGAAGUGAUUGGAAGUGGUUCCAAGAAAAGCCUCUAAGCUUCAGCUGUACGAGACCGUACCGCAAACCGACACAGGUGGACGGGAUGAAUAUUCCAAGGCGCUUGAGAGAACUCAGGAGAAGGAACUCGGCAAAUUCCUGUAACUUCGGG